UACGUAGGGGGCAAGCGUUAUCCGGAUUUACUGGGUGUAAAGGGAGCGUAGACGGCAAGGCAAGCCAGAAGUGAAAGGGCAGGGCUCAACCCUGUACAUGCUUUUGGAACUGUGGUGCUAGAGUGCAGGAGAGGUAAGUGGAAUUCCUAGUGUAGCGGUGAAAUGCGUAGAUAUCAGGAGGAACACCGGUGGCGAAGGCGGCCUGCUGGACUGCAACUGACGCUCAGGCACGAAAGCGUGGGUAUCGAACAGG
RNAcentral lists this ribosomal RNA (253 nucleotides) under uncultured Eubacteriales bacterium. Its description in RNAcentral is "uncultured Clostridiales bacterium partial 16S ribosomal RNA". It matches the Rfam family "Bacterial small subunit ribosomal RNA", at positions 524 to 776 of the family's 1533-position model. The record is from RNAcentral. Lineage: Bacteria; Bacillati; Bacillota; Clostridia; Eubacteriales.